UCCAAAAGAGAAAGAAAAGAUCAUCUCAAGCAGAAAUGAAAGGAUAUGGAGAUUACAUGCUCAUAUGGAAGGCCAAGGAAAGUCAAGCAGGAAAAAGCAAGAGGGUAAACACAAGACAAGGAGUCACCAAGCACUACUGUUCCACUAUCAUCACUGCAGUCUGGCUCUCUGCAGGAUGAACUGUCCUGGGAUUGUUUCUGCUCAUAAGAACAUCUUUGAAUUUGAUCAGCAAGAUAUAACUAUGCUUCAUAUUAAAACUGCCUUGAGUGACCACAUUUAUCAUCAACAGAAAUUAAAUAGAAAUGACCUGAAGGGAAAAAGCUCUUACGUGAGUGAAUACAAUAUUGGUAACUGAAACUGUGGGAGUGGGGAGGCAUCUUGAUUAUUUUUUCCCAUAGGUAUUUUACAUGCAGCUUUAAUCAUCAGCAAUAAAAUGAAGUAGACUUUGAUAGUAGAGAUAAUU
This 463-nucleotide long non-coding RNA is filed under the name Coturnix japonica (Japanese quail). RNAcentral's name for it is "lncRNA (ENSCJPG00005007846.1)". Lineage: Eukaryota; Metazoa; Chordata; Aves; Galliformes; Phasianidae. The record is from RNAcentral.